CACGCCGCGUGAGUGAAGAAGGUUUUCGGAUCGUAAAACUCUGUUGUCAGAGAAGAACAAGUCGGAGAGUAACUGCUCCGGCCUUGACGGUAUCUGACCAGAAAGCCACGGCUAACUACGUGCCAGCAGCCGCGGUAAUACGUAGGUGGCAAGCGUUGUCCGGAUUUAUUGGGCGUAAAGCGAGCGCAGGCGGUUCCUUAAGUCUGAUGUGAAAGCCCACGGCUCAACCGUGGAAGGUCAUUGGAAACUGGGGAACUUGAGUGCAGAAGAGGAGAGUGGAAUUCCAUGUGUAGCGGUGAAAUGCGUAAAUAUAUGGAGGAACACCAGUGGCGAAGGCGACUCUCUGGUCUGUAACUGACGCUGAGGCUCGAAAGCGUGCGGAGCAAACAGGAUUAGAUACCCUGGUAAUCCACGCCGUAAACGAUGACUGCUAAAUGUUGGAAGCUUUCCGACCUUCAAAGGAGNGC
Molecule: ribosomal RNA, 467 nt
Filed under: Trichococcus sp.
Lineage: Bacteria; Bacillati; Bacillota; Bacilli; Lactobacillales; Carnobacteriaceae
Description: bacterial SSU rRNA
Rfam family: Bacterial small subunit ribosomal RNA
Source: RNAcentral